This 253-nucleotide ribosomal RNA is filed under the name uncultured bacterium. Its description in RNAcentral is "partial 16S ribosomal RNA". It matches the Rfam family "Bacterial small subunit ribosomal RNA", at positions 524 to 776 of the family's 1533-position model. The record is from RNAcentral.
UACAGAGGUGGCAAGCGUUGUUCGGAAUUACUGGGCGUAAAGGGCGCGUAGGCGGUUCGUUAAGUCCUGUGUGAAAUCCCUCGGCUUAACCGGGGAACUGCAUCUGAUACUGGAUGGCUUGAGUUCGGGAGAGGGAUGCGGAAUUCCAGGUGUAGCGGUGAAAUGCGUAGAUAUCUGGAGGAACACCGGUGGCGAAGGCGGCAUCCUGGACCGACACUGACGCUGAGGAGCGAAAGCCAGGGGAGCAAACGGG